Molecule: ribosomal RNA, 1436 nt
Filed under: metagenome
Description: bacterial LSU rRNA
Rfam family: Bacterial large subunit ribosomal RNA
Source: RNAcentral
AAAAAAGGAGGUAGGCGGUGAUCUUAGGCAAAUCCGGGAUCACUUACGCCGAGCACCGAGACGAGUCCUAUGAGGACGAAGUGACUGACACCACGCUUCCAGGAAAAGCCACUAAGCUUCAGCUUAAGAAAAACCGUACCGCAAACCGACACAGGUAGGCAGGGUGAGAAUCCCAAGGCGCUUGAGAGAACUCGGGUGAAGGAACUAGGCAAAAUGGCACCGUAACUUCGGGAGAAGGUGCGCCCUUUGGUGUGGUCACGUGCGUGACUGAGCAUCGAAGGGUCGCAGUAACCUGGCCGCUGCGACUGUUUAUCAAAAACACAGCACUCUGCAAACACGAAAGUGGACGUAUAGGGUGUGACGCCUGCCCGGUGCUGGAAGGUUAAUUGAUGGGGUCAGCCGCAAGGCGAAGCUCUUGAUCGAAGCCCCAGUAAACGGCGGCCGUAACAAUAACGGUCCUAAGGUAGCGAAAUUCCUUGUCGGGUAAGUUCCGACCUGCACGAAUGGCGUAACGACAGCGGCGCUGUCUCCACCCGAGACUCAGUGAAAUUGAAAUCGCUGUGAAGAUGCAGCGUUCCCGCGGCAAGACGGAAAGACCCCGUGAACCUUUACUAUAGCUUUACACUGAACGUUGAGUUCUUCUGUGUAGGAUAGGUGGGAGGCUAUGAAACCAGGACGCUAGUUCUGGUGGAGCCAUCUUUGAAAUACCACCCUGAAGUGCUUGACGUUCUAACCUAGGCCCGUAAUCCGGGUCAGGGACCGUGUAUGGUGGGUAGUUUGACUGGGGCGGUCUCCUCCCAAAGAGUAACGGAGGAGCACGAAGGUACGCUCAGCGCGGUCGGACAUCGCGCACUGUGUGCAAAGGCAUAAGCGUGCUUGACUGCGAGAUCGACGGAUCAAGCAGGUACGAAAGUAGGUCUUAGUGAUCCGGUGGUUCUGUAUGGAAGGGCCAUCGCUCAACGGAUAAAAGGUACUCCGGGGAUAACAGGCUGAUACCGCCCAAGAGUUCAUAUCGACGGCGGUGUUUGGCACCUCGAUGACGGCUCAUCACAUCCUGGGGCUGUAGCCGGUCCCAAGGGUAUGGCUGUUCGCCAUUUAAAGUGGUACGCGAGCUGGGUUCAGAACGUCGUGAGACAGUUCGGUCCCUAUCUGUCGUGGGCGUUGGAGAUUUGAGGGGGGCUGCUCCUAGUACGAGAGGACCGGAGUGGACGUUCCGCUGGUGUUCGGGUUGUCAUGCCCAUGGCAUUGCCCGGUAGCUACGAACGGAAGUGAUAACCGCUGAAAGCAUCUAAGCGGGAAGCACGCCCCAAGAUGAGAUCUCCCGAGAGCUUGACUCUCCUAAAGGCACCAUCAAGACUAGGUGGUUGAUAGGUCAGGUGUGGAAGCGCAGCAAUGCGUUGAGCUAACUGAUACUAAUGAGCCGUGAGGCUUGACCG